UACGAAAGGGGCUAGCGUUGUUCGGAAUUACUGGGCGUAAAGCGCACGUAGGCGGCCUUGUAAGUUGGGGGUGAAAUCCCGGGGCUCAACUCCGGAACUGCCUUCAAGACUGCAAAGCUAGAGGACGCGAGAGGUUAGCGGAAGUCCGAGUGUAGAGGUGAAAUUCGUAGAUAUUCGGAAGAACACCAGUGGCGAAGGCGGCUAACUGGCGCGUUUCUGACGCUGAGGUGCGAAAGCGUGGGGAGCAAACAGG
Molecule: ribosomal RNA, 253 nt
Filed under: uncultured bacterium
Lineage: Bacteria
Description: partial 16S ribosomal RNA
Rfam family: Bacterial small subunit ribosomal RNA
Source: RNAcentral